Triticum dicoccoides is the source of this 4251-nucleotide RNA transcript. RefSeq lists it as uncharacterized. Lineage: Eukaryota; Viridiplantae; Streptophyta; Magnoliopsida; Poales; Poaceae. The transcript is spliced from 3 exons. The record is from RefSeq and is a predicted model, not a curated record.
GCACCGAAUUUGGUUGUCUGUUAUACAUGUACAGUCAUAUUUCCUUCUUCCAGGUCAUUCAGUUUCCCAUGUGUUUGAAGCUAAUGGCAUUUGGGAAUAUGAAUAGUAUGGGCACGAACUUGAUCCGUCGGAUCUUGAUGAAAUUGUAGUAGUAAUCACAACAGUUGGCGCAAAAAUAGUUGAGGGGAUGUGCUCUGUGUGUUAUGUUCCUUUAUAUACAAUUUUCUUGCUGGUACAGAACAUGGCAAGGGGAGGAAGACGAUAUGGGUACAGAGAGGUCAGAUCGCUGGAUUUAGUUAUACUGCAAGGACUAUUUUGCAAAUGUAUCGACAGCCCAUCAUCGCACUGAAUCCCGUCCCUUUCUUUUGAAUCCAACGGCCCAUACAUAGCUGGUGCAUCUAGUGCACCAGUUUAGUCGUUUCACCAGAUACGUUCUCCUCGGGAGGCAGGUACUGCAGCAUUCUUUGUAGCAGUAAUGAUGUGUCCAUCGAAAUGAUACAGCAGCCACGGUAUGCCUCCCUUUCAAUGAAAAAAAAAACAGAUAAGAAUAUAGGAUACUUAUGUGUGAAGCACCAGCUGCUCAUUGAAUGUUUUUACUGCAAAACAGCAACGCACGGUACUGGAUAGCGUGGCAGCUGCAAAGCAACAAGGCCGGCCAAGACCAUGCUCCAUCUUUUAUUCAGAAACUGCUGAUGAUUCCAACGUUUUCCACUUUGUCCCCGUCGAUCCAAUCAGACAUACAUAUAAUCCCCAGUGUACCAAGUCACAUACUUUGCCAUCUCGUCGUCAAACUUCCGUCUACCGAUCCUCAAACCCUUAAAAUCGUCAGAAACUUGAUCGAUCGUACAACAUACUUUGUCAUCUCUUCGUCAAACUUCCGUCUAGCGAUCCCCAAACCCUUAAGGCCGUCAGAAACUUGAUUGGUCGUAGAUCACCUAGCACAUGGCGAGUGUCAGCAACAAGGAACCCAAAGUGGGAUCAGGUGACGAGGCCGCUAGCUCGGCCGCCGGUCUGCCAGGGGUGGCAGCGGCGCCGCCACAAGGAGCUGAGCCCGGGGACGAUGAGGCGGCGGCGGCCGUGCUGGCUGCUGCCCCCACCAGGCCAUACUAUGAGUGCGUCUUCUGCAAGCGUGGGUUCACCACGGCGCAGGCUCUCGGUGGGCACAUGAACAUCCACCGCCGCGACCGUGCCAAACCCAGCGUCCGCGACGUUCCCAGCGGCACCACCACAUCAAUGUCUCCAAACGUCGAGUGUUAUAAUCAGUACUGCAGCCACCAGCUGCCGUAUCCCGCAGUGCCUCCGGCGAGGGCGACGCCGAUGAGCACGAGCAGAAGUUUCAUGCUAGCGUACCACCAGCAUCAGGGCACAGGGGCUUCGACCGGAGUCGCGCAUGCGGAUGCCUCCGUGAACCCUAGCAGUGCUAGCCCGAGGGAGCUCAGCCUGUUCGGUGCGGCAGCUCGUGACCGUGACUUGCACGGCCGCGGUGGCGACGGGUCUGGCGUGGCGCCAGAAGGGUCGGAUCGGCAGGCAGGUGAGCCGCCCGAAAGGGAGCUUGACCUGGAGCUCAGGCUCGGACGUCGUCCGCAUUGAUCGCAUGAUACUGCAACUGCGGUUAACUAAUGUAACUCAUACAAAUACUACGUAUAUUUAUUUAAUUAUUGGUACAAAUGCUGCAUAUAUAAUGCAUUAAUUCAUGUAUAUGUGUGGUUUAUGGAAUAUGUGCAUGGAGUGCGUGUAAUUAAUAUACAAUUUUUUAUUUUAUUUCUGUUCCAGUUGUUAAUGUUUUUGUUUGUGUUUAUACUCUGGACGUUGGAUCUAUUGCAAAUAUGUGGACAGAUUGCACUCGACUUACUAGAAUCUUUUCUUCGGUAUGUAUCAUUUAUCCUGCCGGCCGUCCUCAACCCGUUCAUGUGGGAAAUUUCGGCUGCGGGAGCACUGGACCGGGGAAAUUGUUACUGCAGCGAAGCAUGCCACAUCUCCUCUGGGGCUUCCCCGUCCCAGUCGCACGAGAUCUAUUGUGUGCCAUUGUUUACAGUCUGAUGGAUCUGAGAACAGGAUAACAACUGAAGCUAAAGCCUUGGGAAUUUCAGAAUUUAAGUUUUCUAACACUCAACAUGGCAUUUUCAGCGGAUACACAUGGCAACGUCCUCAUGGCAUUUUAACUUGUGUCCCCAUGGCAAUUUAACAAUGUGUCCCAUGGCAAUUUAAGGUGUGUCCCUAUGGAAAAUUAUAUUGUAGAAACAUGGCAAUUGUAUUGUAUAUACCAUGGCAAGUCCAUCCUUUCUGUUACAUAUAUCUUUGGAAAUUUGGGGGUAGGGGGGUAGGUGAAGGGUAAAAUGCAUUGCAUUUUUUUUGUAUAUACCAUUACAAAUUAACAUUGAAGCUGCCAACAUUUUUUGUCCCCAUGCUAAUUUAUAGUUCAUAAUUUACCGUAUUUUUAAAAAGUUUAAAUCAUCUAAAUUUUGAUACAUUUGCCAUCUUUUUAUCAAAAAAUAAAUCUAAUAUAUUUGCCAUGUUUCCAUUUACAAAUUUGAAAAACUUGCCAUAUUUUUUAUAGAACAAAAUCCCUAAUCAUUGGCAUGUGCCCGUAGAAAGUAACUAUCUUUUUCUCAAAGAAACAAAUCCUUGUUUCUAUAUUUGUGCCCAUUAUACUUUUGCCAAACGUUGCCAUAUGUCUUUAAGAGAAGAAAUUCCUAAAUUUUCCAUGCAAUUUAUCAUAGGUACCAUGGCAAAUUUAUUCAAUGGACCAUGGUAGUUUUAUCAUAUGUAGCAUGGCAAAUUUAUCUAUUCGGACCAUCACAAUUUUAUCGUAUGCAGCAUGACGUUUUUAUUGGACCAUGGAAAUUUUUGAAAUUCCUAUAUUUGCCAUCUUUCUCAAACAAAAUGAUUUCUAAAAAUUUGUUUGCCCCCAUUUACAAUUUUCCAACAGUUUCCAUGUCUCUUAGAGAAAAUACUUCGUAAGUUUUUGCCUUGUUACUGGUAGCAUGACAAAAAACAUGGCAAUUUUAUUAAUUAGUCCAUAGUAAAAUUUUGAAUUUUUAUAUUUGGCUAUUCUUUAAUUAGACCAUGUGCAAUUUAAUUAUAGGUUCCAUCGCAAUUUCACUUAUUCCAUGGCAAUUUUUGAAUUAUAAAUCAUGGUAGUUUUAUUUUUGUAGCUACCAUGGCAAUCUAAUUUUGUUAGUCCAUGGCCAUUUAUUUAGUUAAACCGUGACAAAUAUUUGUAUAUAAGAUGGCAGAUUGCUUUGUAUUACUUAUACCAUGGCAAAUUUAUCUAUUAGACCAUGGUAGUUUUAUCAUAUGUAGCAUGGCAAUUUAAUCUAUUCACGACCAUGGCAAGUUUAUCAUAUGUAGCGUGGCAUUUUUAUUAGUUAGACCAUGGAACGUUUUGGAAUUCCUACAUAUUUCCAUUUUUUGUCAAGGAAGAAAUUUGAAAAAAAAGUAUUUUUGCCCCCGUCCCCCCGAAUACAAAUUUCCAGUAGUUGCCACGUCUCUUCGACAACAUACUUUAUAACUUUUUGCCUUGUAAUUAGUAGCAUGUAAAAAAAUUGUAACAUAGCAAUUUUAUUAAUUAGUCCAUGAAAAUUUUGGAAUUCUUUAUAUUUGGCCAGUUUUUUUUAGGUAAACCAUCUGCAAUGUUAUUCCAGGUCCCAUUGAAAUUUCACUUAUUAGACCAUGGCAAUUUUUUAAUUAAACCUUGGAAGUUUUUGUAGCUACCAUGGAAAAAAAAUUUAGUCAAUGACAAUUUAUUAGAUAUAACAAGGAAAAUAAUUUGUAUAUAAGAAUUGCAUAUUUUACUUAUCAUUCGAUGGCAAAUUAUUUUCUGUAUGUUCCAUUAUAAUUUUCAUAUUAUGUAUAGACGGGUUUUUAUUAUUGAGUCAUGGAAAAUUUCUCUAUUUUUUAAAUAUAUUUUUAUUAUUUAUGUAUAUGUAACUUUGAAACAUGACAUUUUUGGCCAUGUGAACUUUUUGUAGAAAUGCUAUACAUUUUGUCAUGUUAUCAAUAUAUAUUUUUCUGCAAUUUUGCCAUGUUACCAUUUUAUAUAGAUAAUGUUCGACCCUUUUUUGUGCUCAUCAUGUAAAUAUUACAAAAUUUCUAGCAACUUCCUUGAUUUAAUAUAACACAAAUAUACUUAGUUUAACUUUACAUGUUUUACAUACAACACCGUGGCGGUUUUUGUGUGAUAGAUGGCAAGCUUUUUUGUUUUUCGUUUCUACUGAUUUCCCACUUGCACCGUUUCUGGGUUUUUUUUUC